Molecule: long non-coding RNA, 328 nt
Filed under: Hordeum vulgare
Lineage: Eukaryota; Viridiplantae; Streptophyta; Magnoliopsida; Poales; Poaceae
Description: long non-coding RNA (HVUL_LNC013157)
Source: RNAcentral
ACUUAAAGAUUUCUAGGAAGGCUCCGACUGACUCGCCAUGGUGCAUGGGUCACUCGGUAUCGCAUCCACUCGGAGACUUUCUCCCUCCACUCGACGGAAGACUUUCACUCAGAAGAACUAGAAGCUAGUCGAUCGCAGAAGAUUAGAAGCUACUCGAGGGAGGCCAACAAGCGGGCAUUCGACUGGUCGUCAUAAAUAACAUUUAUUACAUUCAGUAACAUACACCUUUAUCUCUACUAAUCGAACCCUUGGUUGCCCGGUCUUGAUGAGGGGUAGCGCACUCUAUAUAAACCAUCCCUCUCCUCUGGCACAAGGGUUCACAUCCCGU